UACGUAGGGGGCAAGCGUUAUCCGGAUUUAUUGGGUGUAAAGGGGGCGCAGACGGCGAUGCAAGCCAGGAGUGAAAGCCCGGGGCCCAACCCCGGGACUGCUCUUGGAACUGCGUGGCUGGAGUGCAGGAGGGGCAGGCGGAAUUCCUGGUGUAGCGGUGAAAUGCGUAGAUAUCAGGAGGAACACCGGUGGCGAAGGCGGCCUGCUGGACUGCAACUGACGUUGAGGCCCGAAAGCGUGGGGAGCAAACAGG
Molecule: ribosomal RNA, 253 nt
Filed under: uncultured bacterium
Lineage: Bacteria
Description: partial 16S ribosomal RNA
Rfam family: Bacterial small subunit ribosomal RNA
Source: RNAcentral